This 1362-nucleotide long non-coding RNA is filed under the name Ananas comosus (pineapple). RNAcentral describes it as "long non-coding RNA (ACOM_LNC007153)". The record is from RNAcentral. Lineage: Eukaryota; Viridiplantae; Streptophyta; Magnoliopsida; Poales; Bromeliaceae.
UACCCAUUUGGUCCGGUUUGGGCGCGCCGGGCGGACCGCCGAACGGACAGCACCUCCCCUGUCCGCCCAAGGCUAAAGCAACAAGAUUGUGUGCAACAAGUGCCCAGGAAAACAACUUGAUAACAUACACAAUCUGUAACACACUGGACCUUUGCAAAUUGCGAGGUUCGAGUGUUUGGAUGUAUUUCGGGCUUUUCCACACUUGGUGGAGGGUUGUAAAAUGUUCCCCGACCCGAAACGUUCGAAAACUGAAAUUCUGGACAAGUCCUGAGAGUUUUUACUCUCGGGGACCGGUCCCUGGAAUGAGAGACCGGUUCCCCCAGUGAGCAGUAUUGAGGCAGCCUGAGGCAACCGGUCCCUGGCAGGCGAGACCGGUUCCCGAACGCGUCUUCGCAGUGAGAGACCGGUCCCGCGCAGGGAGAGACCGGUUCCCGAACGCUGGUUUUUCGGGUUCGCAGCGAGAGACCGGUCCCAGCUGGGGAGAGACCGGUCCCUCUGGGCGAAAACUGCCCAGUUCGGGCUGAUGUAAUAUUGGGUUUUUGAGGGGCCUGGUUGGAUUUUGUUACUCUAGAUGGGCUUAUUAGCCAUUUCACUCCCUUCCCUCCUCAUUUCUCACCACCCUACACCUUCUAGAGAGAGAAGAAGAAGAAGGAGAAGAAGAAGAAGGAGGAGAAGAAGAAGAGAAGCUAGUUUGAGGGAGCUUGGAGCUCAACCCCUUUCUCUCUUUCCCACCUUGGCAAGGCUUGGAGCUUGCUUGUAGAGCUUAGUGGUGGACCGACUUCAACCCUAGGGCAUUUUGGGCUUGGAUUGAAGCUUCCAAAGGGUUAGUAUCAUGCUUCCCUCCUCUAGAUUCUUGUUUUUGUGAUUUUUGGGAGAUGAAACCCUAGAAAUGAGAUUUAGGGCUUAUUUUGGGCAUUUUUGAUCUAGGGCUUUUGGGGCUAAAUUGAUUGGUUUAGAACCUUCCUAGGGCUUGGAUUGGAAGGGUUCUAGCUCUCUUUUGGAGUUUUGGAAGAGAUUUCUACUCUUGAGGUGAGUUUUGCCCCUUUUUGCUCCUAGGGUAAUGUUUGAUGUUAUAGGAUGGUUGUAAUGCCCUCGUAUCUCUUCGCUGAUUACUUUUAGGGUAUUUUGAGACUCGGGGACAACUUGAUUCGGCGAGACGAGACCCUACGCGACGGUUCGGUGGGUUUGACCUAGCCACACAAUGAGAAAUUCUCAUUUGUGCUUAAUUAAGUGUUGUUAAAUGAAAAAGCAUGCAUAUUCUUGUUAUAUGUAUUUAUUGUGAAUUUUAGAAUGCUUAAAAGGCCUAUGUUAUAUAUGAUGAAAUUUUGGACCUCUAUAUAGUAGAGAGUAGCUUAUUGGGCC